Molecule: ribosomal RNA, 201 nt
Filed under: Triticum aestivum (bread wheat)
Lineage: Eukaryota; Viridiplantae; Streptophyta; Magnoliopsida; Poales; Poaceae
Description: partial small subunit ribosomal RNA
Source: RNAcentral
AUGAUCCGCAUCAACGGGAACGGGCGUGUUGUGCUGGCCAAGGUCAUCGACGAGUGCGACUCGGUGUACGGCUGCGACGCCGAGCACAACUUCGAGCCACCGUGCCCAUACAACGACGUAGACGCGUCACCAGCCGUGUGGAAGGCGCUGGGGCUCAAGGAGGCGAUUGGAGUGUUCAAGAUCACAUGGUCUGAUGUGUGA